RNAcentral lists this transfer RNA (76 nucleotides) under Candidatus Bathyarchaeota archaeon. RNAcentral's name for it is "tRNA-Asn". It matches the Rfam family "tRNA". From Rfam's summary of the family: Transfer RNA (tRNA) molecules are approximately 80 nucleotides in length. Their secondary structure includes four short double-helical elements and three loops (D, anti-codon, and T loops). Further hydrogen bonds mediate the characteristic L-shaped molecular structure. tRNAs have two regions of fundamental functional importance: the anti-codon, which is responsible for specific mRNA codon recognition, and the 3' end, to which the tRNAs corresponding amino acid is attached (by aminoacyl-tRNA synthetases). tRNAs cope with the degeneracy of the genetic code in two manners: having more than one tRNA (with a specific anti-codon) for a particular amino acid; and 'wobble' base-pairing, i.e. permitting non-standard base-pairing at the 3rd anti-codon position. The record is from RNAcentral. Lineage: Archaea; Thermoproteati; Candidatus Bathyarchaeota.
GCUGGCGUAGCUUAGUUGGUAGAGCAAUCGGCUGUUAACCGGUAGGUCAGAGGUUCGAGCCCUCUCGCCAGCGCCA